This 497-nucleotide ribosomal RNA is filed under the name uncultured bacterium. Its description in RNAcentral is "partial 16S ribosomal RNA". It matches the Rfam family "Bacterial small subunit ribosomal RNA", at positions 28 to 507 of the family's 1533-position model. The record is from RNAcentral.
GAUGAACGCUGGCGGCGUGCCUAAUACAUGCAAGUCGAGCGAACAGAUGAGGAGCUUGCUCCUCUGACGUUAGCGGCGGACGGGUGAGUAACACUUGGAUAACCUACCUAUAAGACUGGGAUAACUUCGGGAAACCGGAGCUAAUACCGGAUAAUAUGUUGAACCGCAUGGUUCAAUAGUGAAAGACGGUUUUGCUGUCACUUAUAGCUGGUUCCGGGCCGCAUUAGCUAGUUGGUAAGGUAACGGUUUACCAAGGCAACGAUGCGUAGCCGACCUGAGAGGGUGAUAGGCCACACGGGAACUGGGACACGGUCCAGACUCCUACGGGAGGCAGCAGUAGGGAAUCGUCCGCAAUGGGCGAAAGCUUGACGGAGCAACGCCGCGUGAGAGAUGAAGGUCUUCGGAUCGUAAAACUGUGUUAUGAGGGAAGAACAAAUGUGUAAGUAACUAUGCACGUCUUGACGGUACCUAAUCAGAAAGCCACGGCUAACUACGUG